This 443-nucleotide ribosomal RNA is filed under the name uncultured bacterium. RNAcentral's name for it is "partial 16S ribosomal RNA". It matches the Rfam family "Bacterial small subunit ribosomal RNA", at positions 339 to 795 of the family's 1533-position model. The record is from RNAcentral.
CUACGGGACGCUGCAGUCAAGAACCUUCCGCAAUGGACGAAAGUCUGACGGAGCGACGCCGCGUGGUGGAUGAAGUCCUUAGGGACGUAAACACCUUUUAUAGGGGAUGAAGAUUUUGACAGUACCCUAUGAAUAAGGGGCUCCUAACUCUGUGCCAGCAGGAGCGGUAAUACAGAGGCCCCAAGCGUUACCCGGAAUCACGGGGCGUAAAGGAUGCGUAGGUGGCUACGUUAGUCGUUUGUGAAAUCCUUCGGCUCAACCGAAGGGAUGCCAAGCGAAACGGCGUAGCUAGAGGAUGUAAGAGGUAUGCGGAACUCACGGUGUAGGGGUAAAAUCCGUUGAUAUCGUGGGGAACACCAUAGGCGAAGGCGGCAUACUGGGACAUUCCUGACACUGAGGCAUGAAAGCGUAGGUAGCGAACGGGAUUAGAUACCCCUGUAGUC